CCCUAUUUGGACGGGACUAGUUUUACAGGGGGUCGUUAGAGAAAUCUGUGUUUCACAGACGUACUUGGUGAUAUUAAUCCCGUCCGAAUCUGCCACGUCUGUGUUUUUCUCACAAAACCUCUGUGAUAAUUCCAGAGCAAAUUACCUACUGUUUUUCAGCAUACUCAGUGAUCCUCUGAGAAAACUAAUCCUGUCCGAAUGUGAAUGUCUGUGAUUGCCGGUGAUAUUUUAUUUCACAACGCCUUUCCUUGUGUGUUUUGGCAAACGUGAAUUACCGUAGAUGCUCUUACCGCGCGCAUGUUUGAUAUAUUUGCUUACCGGCAAAGAAAUAAUAAUAAAAAAAUAAUACAAAUAAUAAAAUCAAGAGCAAGAUCACGUAAACUGUUAAUACCGGCUAUUGUAAUAUCAGCAUAAGGUAAGAUUACUCACGUUCAUUUAUGUACUCAGUUACAUAAUGUUUAAAUUAAACAUACGGUAGAAAAAAAAGGAAAACAAGUUAAACUAAAGGAACCACACAUUAACAUGGUUUUGUUAUACUAGCCAUUUAUUAUUUAUUGUGUAAUAAUACUAAUGGCAAUCAUUCUGAAUAAAUGCAAUGCACGCAUACAGAGCGCGUGAUCUCUGUGACGCCCAGAUUCACAAAUCAGACCCUCCCACCUCUGUAAUAAACACGGAGAUGUUAGUCCCGUCCGAAUUGGUACAUGAAAAUCGCAGACGUCCGGUGGUAAGAAUCGAAACUCAAACGUAGUUUAGAAAACUAGUCCCGUCUGAAUAGGGCUAAUGA
This is a long non-coding RNA of Carassius carassius (crucian carp), 784 nucleotides long. RefSeq lists it as uncharacterized. The transcript is spliced from 2 exons. NCBI's taxonomy places the organism in Eukaryota, Metazoa, Chordata, Actinopteri, Cypriniformes, Cyprinidae. The record is from RefSeq and is a predicted model, not a curated record.